RNA transcript from Mastomys coucha (southern multimammate mouse), 1898 nucleotides. It is a transcript of the gene named peptidyl-prolyl cis-trans isomerase FKBP1A pseudogene, with no coding region annotated. The record is from RefSeq and is a predicted model, not a curated record. Lineage: Eukaryota; Metazoa; Chordata; Mammalia; Rodentia; Muridae. The transcript has 3 exons.
UGACUGCUAGACAAGAGCUGCACAAGAUCCGGUUUGUCAACAUUCCCUCGUGGAUGAAGGAGAGGCUCAAGAGACUUCAGCCCUCCCUGAUGAUUUGUGGGCAGCUAGGAUCACUAGAGAAGAUGGACUCCAGAGACUCCACAGCUCCCUGAAAACUACUGGCAGCUAAUGGCCCCAGGGGAAGGGAGAAACAUUUUCUUCUGUGCCGUAGUCCCUGAUCCCCUCUUCUAUCUCCAUGAACUGAGUGCUCUGGGAAUUUCAGAUACAACCCUGUGCUUUUUAAAUCUAGACCUAGGCAUUCUUUCAAGGCUCAUCUAUAGUGUGUGUCUGGAUUCCAGUCCUGUUUAACAGGCUUAAUAAAUGUGUGCUGUGACAUGAGAGGGAUGAAGCCGAACCUCUGAACCCAGGUCUGUUCCUGCUCCACGUGUGUGCUGCCACCCAUGUCCUUCGUCUCCUCUGCCAACACCACCGCUGCCGGGGGAGUGCAGGUGGAAACCAUCUCUCCUGGAGACAGGCAGCGCUUUCCCGACGCGCAGCCAGACCUGUGUGAUGCGCUAUGUGGGGAUUCAUGAAGAUGGAAAGAAAUUUGACUCCUCUCCGGACAGAAACAAGCCUUUUACGUUUACAUUAGGCAAGCAAGUGGUAAUCCGAGACUGGGAAGAAGGGCUAGCCCAGAUGAGUGUGGGUCAGAGAGCCAAACUGAUAAUCUUCGCAGACUAUGCCUAUGGAGCCACGGGGCACCCAGGCAUCAUCCCACCAGAUGCCACUCUUGUUUUUGAUGUGGAGCAUCUAAAACUGGAAUGACAGAAGUGGCCUCCUCCCUUAGCUCUGGACGUGGAUCUGCCAUGGGGGAAUCUGGUACCUCCAGAUGGGUGCACAUGAUCCAUGGGGAGCUUUUCCUGACGUCCCACCACCCUUUGUAUAGACACCUACCCGACUGAAUGUGUUCCGUCACUCAGCUUUGCUUAGGACAUCUCCAUGUCCUUCUCCCCCUUCUGUAUGUGUGUUGACCAAAACUAUAUGCCAUAAACCUCAAGUUACUUUAUUUUGGGAUGAAGACUGUUUCUGUCUUUCAGAUCUAAGUUUCCAAUGAAGUGUAUUGUCAGGUGUCACCAGCACGAGCCAUGGGUUAACUUUAGAAUAGGAAUUGGUAUUGAGGGGAGGAUUUGCAAAAUUUUUUAUUUUAUUUUAUUUUAUUUUAUUGGAUGAAAAUGUUAUCUAUUAUAUAUUAAGACAUUCUGCUGCUGUGCUGCAAAGCCAUAGCAGAUUCGAGCCGCUGUUGAGGGCUGGAUUUUUCUCCAGUGAGGGAGGGCCUGUUAAACUGAAAGUUCUACACAGACUGAAGUGGGAAGGGAGGGAGAGAGCCCUUGCUUCUGACAGCCUCCCACCUUCUGAAACAUGCUGCCUUUUAAAGCAGGUCCCUUCACUGCUGUGUUGGACACUAGAGUAUCUGUCCCUGGGUCGGCAGGGACCUCUGAAGCCUUCUUUGUGACCUGGCUUAAUUUGUUUUUCAUCCUAUGGUUUUUCUAAUGGAUUUUCUGGACUUUUGUAAUCCUGUAACUAUCCAAGCUCCACUUCCUAAAUUUUAAGAACUUUGGAGGAAAGUUUAAAUUGAAGGUGCUGUUUGUAGACUCACCACCCAUUGGAUGCCCAGCCACCACGACAAAUCCUUGAGUGUUCUCUAAGAAAAUGAUGCUGCUCAUCACAGCUUCAGCAUUUCCUGGUUUUGAUGCUUGGCUCUCUGCUGAUCUUGGCUUCCUGGCUUUUCCUCCUUCAGUUCCUUCUCACCCUCUGCUGUCCUUGUGUAGUGAUUUGGUGAGAGAAAGCUUUUGUCUCCUGCACUCUUCACUAAUAUGCAGUUCAAGUUUUAUUAUUGCAAUAAAAGUGCUUUAUGCUGG